GUGUCCAGUGCCGUAUAUUGCAG
This 23-nucleotide microRNA is filed under the name Drosophila simulans. RNAcentral's name for it is "Dsi-Mir-978-v2_3p (mature (guide))". The record is from RNAcentral. Lineage: Eukaryota; Metazoa; Arthropoda; Insecta; Diptera; Drosophilidae.